GAUGAACGCUGGCGGCGUGCCUAAUACAUGCAAGUCGAGCGAACGGACGAGAAGCUUGCUUCUCUGAUGUUAGCGGCGGACGGGUGAGUAACACGUGGAUAACCUACCUAUAAGACUGGGAUAACUUCGGGAAACCGGAGCUAAUACCGGAUGAUAUUUUGAACCGCAUGGUUCAAAAGUGAAAGACGGUCUUGCUGUCACUUAUAGAUGGAUCCGCGCUGCAUUAGCUAGUUGGUAAGGUAACGGCUUACCAAGGCAACGAUGCAUAGCCGACCUGAGAGGUGGAUCGGCCACACUGGAACUGAGACACGGUCCAGACUCCUACGGGAGGCAGCAGUAGGGAAUCUUCCGCAAUGGGCGAAAGCCUGACGGAGCAACGCCGCGUGAGUGAUGAAGGUCUUCGGAUCGUAAAACUCUGUUAUUAGGGAAGACCAUAUGUGUAAGUAACUGUGCACAUCUUGACGGUACCUAAUCAGAAAGCCACGGCUAACUACGUG
Molecule: ribosomal RNA, 497 nt
Filed under: uncultured bacterium
Lineage: Bacteria
Description: partial 16S ribosomal RNA
Rfam family: Bacterial small subunit ribosomal RNA
Source: RNAcentral